GAGUUUGAUCCUGGCUCAGAAUGAACGCUGGCGGCAGGCCUAACACAUGCAAGUCGAACGGAGUUAUAUUGUAGCUUGCUAUGGUAUAACUUAGUGGCAGACGGGUGAGUAAUGUAUAGGAAUCUACCUAGUAGUACGGAAUAAUUGUUGGAAGCGGCAACUAAUACCGUAUACGCCCUACGGGGGAAAAAUUUAUUGCUAUUAGAUGAGCCUAUAUUAGAUUAGUUAGUUGGUGAGGUAAAGGCUUACCAAGACAAUGAUCUAUAGCUGAUCUGAGAGGAUGAUCAGCCACACUGGAACUGAGAUACGGUCCAGCCUCCUACGGGAGGCAGCAGUGGGGAAUAUUGGACAAUGGGCGAAAGCCUGAUCCAGCCAUGCCGCAUGGGUGAAGAAGGCCUUCGGGUUGUAAGGCUCUUUUAGUGAGGAAAAUAAUGACGGUACUCACAGAAGAAGUCCUGGCUAACUCCGUGCCAGCAGCCGCGGUAAUACGGAGAGGGCUAGCGUUAUUCGGAAUCAUUGGGCGUAAAGGGCGCGUAGGCGGGUUAGUAAGUUAAAAGUGAAAUCCCAAGGCUCAACCUUGGAACUGCUUUUAAAACUGCUAGUCUAGAGAUUGAAAGAGGAUAGAGGAAUUCCUAGUGUAGAGGUGAAAUUCGUAAAUAUUAGGAGGAACACCAGUGGCGAAA
Molecule: ribosomal RNA, 683 nt
Filed under: uncultured Hyphomicrobiales bacterium
Lineage: Bacteria; Pseudomonadati; Pseudomonadota; Alphaproteobacteria; Hyphomicrobiales
Description: bacterial SSU rRNA
Rfam family: Bacterial small subunit ribosomal RNA
Source: RNAcentral